UGGCUUAGUUGGUAAGGCAAUCGUUUUGCAUACAAGAGUCGUGGGUUUGAAUCCCAC
RNAcentral lists this transfer RNA (57 nucleotides) under Aedes aegypti (yellow fever mosquito). It matches the Rfam family "tRNA", at positions 8 to 63 of the family's 71-position model. Rfam says of the family: Transfer RNA (tRNA) molecules are approximately 80 nucleotides in length. The record is from Rfam by way of RNAcentral. Lineage: Eukaryota; Metazoa; Arthropoda; Insecta; Diptera; Culicidae.